This 869-nucleotide ribosomal RNA is filed under the name uncultured archaeon. RNAcentral's name for it is "bacterial SSU rRNA". It matches the Rfam family "Archaeal small subunit ribosomal RNA", at positions 23 to 903 of the family's 1478-position model. The record is from RNAcentral.
GUCACUGCUAUCGGGUUCGAUUAAGCCAUGCGAGUCGAGAGGUUCGGCCCUCGGCGCACUGCUCAGUAACACGUGGAUAACCUGCCCUGAGGUAGGAAUAACCCCGGAAACUGGGAAUAAUACCCUAUAGUUUCAGAAGCUGGAAUGCUCUGAAACCCAAAGCUCCGGCGCCUCAGGAUGAGUCUGCGGACUAUCAGGUGUAGUCAGGAUAAAGACCUGACUAGCCUAUGACGGAUACGGGUUGUGAGAGCAAUAACCCGGAGACGAUAUCUGAGACACGAUAUCGGGCCCUACGGGGCGCAGCAGGCGCGAAAACUUCACACUGUGCGAAAGCGCGAUGAGGGAAUCCCAAGUGCUUACUCGUAAGAGUAAGCUGUUUCUUUGUCUAAAAAGCAGAGAGAGUAAGGGCUGGGUAAGACGGGUGCCAGCCGCCGCGGUAAUACCUGCAGCUCAAGUGGUGAUCAUUAUUAUUGGGCCUAAAACGUCCGUAGCCGGUUUAGUAAAUGCCUGGGUAAAUCGUGUAGCUUAACUAUACGAAUUCCGGGUAGACUGCUAAACUUGAGACCGGGAGAGGCUAGAGGUACUCCUGGGGUAGAGGUGAAAUUCUGUAAUCCUAGGGGGACCACCAGUGGCGAAGGCGUCUAGCUAGAACGGGUCUGACGGUGAGGGACGAAGCCCUGGGGCGCAAACCGGAUUAGAUACCCGGGUAGUCCAGGGUGUAAACGCUGCUUGCUUGAUGUUAGUUGGGCUCCGAGCCCAACUAGUGUCGGAGAGAAGUUGUUAAGCAAGCUGCCUGGGAAGUACGGUCGCAAGGCUGAAACUUAAAGGAAUUGGCGGGGGAGCACAGCAACGGGUGGAGCGUGCGGUUU